This 489-nucleotide ribosomal RNA is filed under the name uncultured bacterium. RNAcentral describes it as "bacterial SSU rRNA". It matches the Rfam family "Bacterial small subunit ribosomal RNA", at positions 31 to 507 of the family's 1533-position model. The record is from RNAcentral.
GAACGCUGGCGGCAGGCCUAACACAUGCAAGUCGAACGGUAACAGGAAGCAGCUUGCUGCUUCGCUGACGAGUGGCGGACGGGUGAGUAAUGUCUGGGAAGCUGCCUGAUGGAGGGGGAUAACUACUGGAAACGGUAGCUAAUACCGCAUAAUGUCGCAAGACCAAAGAGGGGGACCUUCGGGGCCUCUUGCCAUCGGAUGUGCCCAGAUGGGUUUAGCUUGUUGGUGGGGUAACGGCUCACCAAGGCGACGAUCCCUAGCUGGUCUGAGAGGAUGACCAGCCACACUGGAACUGAGACACGGUCCAGACUCCUACGGGAGGCAGCAGUGGGGAAUAUUGCACAAUGGGCGCAAGCCUGAUGCAGCCAUGCCCGCGUGUAUGAAGAAGGCCUUCGGGUUGUAAAGUACUUUCAGUGGGGAGGAAGGGAGUAAAGUUAAUACCUUUGCUCAUUGACGUUACCCGCAGAAGAAGCACCGGCUAACUCCGUG